GUCACAGAAUCCAUUCCGGCUGAUCCAGUCCUGGGCGCUGCUCCUCCUCCUCCAGCAUGCUCCAGUCUGCGAUCCAGUCCAGUAAGGAGAGUAUGCCCUGGUGCUGCUGAAAUCUGACCGGGCAGCAACAGAGAGAUGAGUAACAAAAAAUUAAAAGACCCACUGCUGGUGCACAGAAGGAAAUGUGCUCCAGCUCCAGUAAAAGUCAGCUAAAGAAACAUUGGCUUUCCCUCCAGAUGCCCAGAGAAAGAAAUGCCAGGAAAAAGAGGAAUACUGACAUUUAGGACAUUGUUGAAGCCACUGCUCACUUGACCAGCCUGACUGAAACCUUUGACAGCUCCACAGCAGUUUGGAUAAGGUUGUCAAAGAGUAUGGCCCACAAGAACUGGGAUAAACGCAGCGAUGAGAAAAUCAGAUCAAGCUGGACUUCCACAAGAUCAGCAUAAAGAUAAGAUAAAAUGUUCCUUUCUUAAUCACCAUCAUUAUCAUCAUACGUCACUCCAGCCAGACAAGAAGGAAAGCAGUCUGAAGUAUGCUGAGUACAGCAAAGGACAAUGCACAGUCCAGAAUUACCACUGGACUAAGUUCUGCCCGCAUGAUACAGACCAGCAGCUGAACAGCAAGACCAGACCGAAUCAUGUAUGACUCUCCUAGUCCGCAUGACCAUCACCUUAGGACUACAGCGGUCUGAAACGAGAUGCAAUGAGACCCUGAAAGUUCUGAGUUUGAUUAGUCCAGAAACUACUGCUGGAGUGAGGAAGAGUUGUAUUUCACAGCAUGUCACAUCAUGGAAGACAGACAGCAUGAAGGAGCAUGCUUAACAUACAGAAGAUCAACACGAAGACAACUGUCAAAAGAAAAUGAUUGCUGCUGUAUCAAACCAUCCUGAUACGAGGAUAUGUACAGUACAGGGGAGAGGGCAAAGAUAAGGGCAAAAGUGGACAUUGGAAAAGAGAUUUUGCACAAUUUCCAAAACAGACUGACAAGAAGAAAAAAAGAGAAAACAAAUGAACUGAGCUGGAGGGGGCUGGACGGACUAACGACAGGAUCCAGCAAACACGCACUGGUUUGAGCUGCUUCAAAGGGUAGUGACAUGGGCAAAUCAAGUGAUAUGGAGCUGGAAGGAAGGGAGGAGAUGGGUUCUUACCCGGAGUUGACUGACUGAUGAGUGGCCAGUGGUGGGGCCCGAGAACCAGGACAGCAAGGGUGGUGAUAUAAACAAGCCUGUUUUUACACACAUUGCUGUGAUUCUGAGUACCGGUGAACUAGUUCCAAUAAGAUCUUUUCCAUACACCAUGGGUAGACAUUCAACAUGACCUCAUGUCUGAGGUGCUAAUUGAAUGACAGUUUACAGCUAUAGGUUUCACAAAGUAUAAUUUGAUUUGGACAAGUCAAAGAUUCUAAAAUGAUAUCUACUAAACAAGAAGCGCUUGAAUGUAUUAAACAUGUUUCUUUGUUUGUUAGUGAUUCAAAGGCCUGGUUAUGUUUUGAAUUCUCUGUUAUAGGCUGGAGUCACCAUGCCCUGCUCGCCUGCCCACUGCCACAGCUUUUUAUUAAAGGAAAAUCUGUGGUGAAGUCCAA
Micropterus salmoides (largemouth bass) is the source of this 1581-nucleotide long non-coding RNA. RefSeq lists it as uncharacterized. NCBI's taxonomy places the organism in Eukaryota, Metazoa, Chordata, Actinopteri, Centrarchiformes, Centrarchidae. The record is from RefSeq and is a predicted model, not a curated record. The transcript is spliced from 2 exons.